This 258-nucleotide long non-coding RNA is filed under the name Junco hyemalis (dark-eyed junco). RNAcentral's name for it is "lncRNA (ENSJHYG00000016723.1)". The record is from RNAcentral. Lineage: Eukaryota; Metazoa; Chordata; Aves; Passeriformes; Passerellidae.
GUGAUCUUUAAGAUCUGUGGAAGAAAUAGAAGAUAGUGCUAUGACUUCCAAGAUGUGUCUCAUGGGAAGGAUCACUUAAAUGACACUUGUUGGUUGGUAAUGACUCUUUUUGAUGUUUGCUCACUUCUUCAAGCAAAGGUAUUUAAAAUGUGUCUUUGCAUUUCCUGCAUAACUGGAUCCUAGCUCAUUAAAGGUAAGACCUUUUUUUGCAAUCCCCUUAGGAGCAGUGCAUAGCAAGGGAAACUGCAUGGUUUGCAC